GGGUUGUGAGGUUAAGCGACUAAGCGUACACGGUGGAUGCCCUGGCAGUCAGAGGCGAUGAAGGACGUGCUAAUCUGCGAUAAGCGUCGGUAAGGUGAUAUGAACCGUUAUAACCGGCGAUUUCCGAAUGGGGAAACCCAGUGUGAUUCGUCACACUAUCAUUAACUGAAUCCAUAGGUUAAUGAGGCGAACCGGGGGAACUGAAACAUCUAAGUACCCCGAGGAAAAGAAAUCAACCGAGAUUCCCCCAGUAGCGGCGAGCGAACGGGGAGCAGCCCAGAGCCUGAAUCAGUGUGUGUGUUAGUGGAAGCGUCUGGAAAGGCGCGCGAUACAGGGUGACAGCCCCGUACACAAAAAUGCACAUGCUGUGAGCUCGAUGAGUAGGGCGGGACACGUGGUAUCCUGUCUGAAUAUGGGGGGACCAUCCUCCAAGGCUAAAUACUCCUGACUGACCGAUAGUGAACCAGUACCGUGAGGGAAAGGCGAAAAGAACCCCGGCGAGGGGAGUGAAAAAGAACCUGAAACCGUGUACGUACAAGCAGUGGGAGCCUCUUUAUGGGGUGACUGCGUACCUUUUGUAUAAUGGGUCAGCGACUUAUAUUCUGUAGCAAGGUUAACCGAAUAGGGGAGCCGAAGGGAAACCGAGUCUUAACUGGGCGUUAAGUUGCAGGGUAUAGACCCGAAACCCGGUGAUCUAGCCAUGGGCAGGUUGAAGGUUGGGUAACACUAACUGGAGGACCGAACCGACUAAUGUUGAAAAAUUAGCGGAUGACUUGUGGCUGGGGGUGAAAGGCCAAUCAAACCGGGAGAUAGCUGGUUCUCCCCGAAAGCUAUUUAGGUAGCGCCUCGUGAAUUCAUCUCCGGGGGUAGAGCACUGUUUCGGCAAGGGGGUCAUCCCGACUUACCAACCCGAUGCAAACUGCGAAUACCGGAGAAUGUUAUCACGGGAGACACACGGCGGGUGCUAACGUCCGUCGUGAAGAGGGAAACAACCCAGACCGCCAGCUAAGGUCCCAAAGUCAUGGUUAAGUGGGAAACGAUGUGGGAAGGCCCAGACAGCCAGGAUGUUGGCUUAGAAGCAGCCAUCAUUUAAAGAAAGCGUAAUAGCUCACUGGUCGAGUCGGCCUGCGCGGAAGAUGUAACGGGGCUAAACCAUGCACCGAAGCUGCGGCAGCGACACUGUGUGUUGUUGGGUAGGGGAGCGUUCUGUAAGCCUGCGAAGGUGUGCUGUGAGGCAUGCUGGAGGUAUCAGAAGUGCGAAUGCUGACAUAAGUAACGAUAAAGCGGGUGAAAAGCCCGCUCGCCGGAAGACCAAGGGUUCCUGUCCAACGUUAAUCGGGGCAGGGUGAGUCGACCCCUAAGGCGAGGCCGAAAGGCGUAGUCGAUGGGAAACAGGUUAAUAUUCCUGUACUUGGUGUUACUGCGAAGGGGGGACGGAGAAGGCUAUGUUGGCCGGGCGACGGUUGUCCCGGUUUAAGCGUGUAGGCUGGUUUUCCAGGCAAAUCCGGAAAAUCAAGGCUGAGGCGUGAUGACGAGGCACUACGGUGCUGAAGCAACAAAUGCCCUGCUUCCAGGAAAAGCCUCUAAGCAUCAGGUAACAUCAAAUCGUACCCCAAACCGACACAGGUGGUCAGGUAGAGAAUACCAAGGCGCUUGAGAGAACUCGGGUGAAGGAACUAGGCAAAAUGGUGCCGUAACUUCGGGAGAAGGCACGCUGAUAUGUAGGUGAAGUCCCUCGCGGAUGGAGCUGAAAUCAGUCGAAGAUACCAGCUGGCUGCAACUGUUUAUUAAAAACACAGCACUGUGCAAACACGAAAGUGGACGUAUACGGUGUGACGCCUGCCCGGUGCCGGAAGGUUAAUUGAUGGGGUCAGCGCAAGCGAAGCUCUUGAUCGAAGCCCCGGUAAACGGCGGCCGUAACUAUAACGGUCCUAAGGUAGCGAAAUUCCUUGUCGGGUAAGUUCCGACCUGCACGAAUGGCGUAAUGAUGGCCAGGCUGUCUCCACCCGAGACUCAGUGAAAUUGAACUCGCUGUGAAGAUGCAGUGUACCCGCGGCAAGACGGAAAGACCCCGUGAACCUUUACUAUAGCUUGACACUGAACAUUGAGCCUUGAUGUGUAGGAUAGGUGGGAGGCUUUGAAGUGUGGACGCCAGUCUGCAUGGAGCCGACCUUGAAAUACCACCCUUUAAUGUUUGAUGUUCUAACGUUGACCCGUGAUCCGGGUUGCGGACAGUGUCUGGUGGGUAGUUUGACUGGGGCGGUCUCCUCCUAAAGAGUAACGGAGGAGCACGAAGGUUGGCUAAUCCUGGUCGGACAUCAGGAGGUUAGUGCAAUGGCAUAAGCCAGCUUGACUGCGAGCGUGACGGCGCGAGCAGGUGCGAAAGCAGGUCAUAGUGAUCCGGUGGUUCUGAAUGGAAGGGCCAUCGCUCAACGGAUAAAAGGUACUCCGGGGAUAACAGGCUGAUACCGCCCAAGAGUUCAUAUCGACGGCGGUGUUUGGCACCUCGAUGUCGGCUCAUCACAUCCUGGGGCUGAAGUAGGUCCCAAGGGUAUGGCUGUUCGCCAUUUAAAGUGGUACGCGAGCUGGGUUUAGAACGUCGUGAGACAGUUCGGUCCCUAUCUGCCGUGGGCGCUGGAGAACUGAGGGGGGCUGCUCCUAGUACGAGAGGACCGGAGUGGACGCAUCACUGGUGUUCGGGUUGUCAUGCCAAUGGCACUGCCCGGUAGCUAAAUGCGGAAGAGAUAAGUGCUGAAAGCAUCUAAGCACGAAACUUGCCCCGAGAUGAGUUCUCCCUGACUCCUUGAGAGUCCUGAAGGAACGUUGAAGACGACGACGUUGAUAGGCCGGGUGUGUAAGCGCAGCGAUGCGUUGAGCUAACCGGUACUAAUGAACCGUGAGGCUUAACCUUACAACGCCGAAG
Molecule: ribosomal RNA, 2923 nt
Filed under: Escherichia coli
Lineage: Bacteria; Pseudomonadati; Pseudomonadota; Gammaproteobacteria; Enterobacterales; Enterobacteriaceae
Description: bacterial LSU rRNA
Rfam family: Bacterial large subunit ribosomal RNA
Source: RNAcentral